RNAcentral lists this RNase P RNA (318 nucleotides) under chicken gut metagenome. RNAcentral's name for it is "Bacterial RNase P class A". It matches the Rfam family "Bacterial RNase P class A". From Rfam's summary of the family: Ribonuclease P (RNase P) is a ubiquitous endoribonuclease, found in archaea, bacteria and eukarya as well as chloroplasts and mitochondria. Its best characterised activity is the generation of mature 5'-ends of tRNAs by cleaving the 5'-leader elements of precursor-tRNAs. The record is from RNAcentral.
UCGAACAAUCGCGUAUGAAUCAUUCAUAUGAGGAAAGUCCGAACACCCGAGGGCAUGGCGGCGGAUAACGUCCGCCGGAGGCAACUCCAGGACAAGUGCCACAGAAAAGUAAACAACCGUAAACGGUUCAGGUGCAACGGCAGUGUAAAAGACUACCGGCGAUAUUGAGAGAUAUCGGACAGGUAAACUCCGCCAGGGUGCAAGAUUGAAUAAAGGUUAAGGUGACCCGCCAUCUUUGAAAAAUCGCUGGAGAUGUUUGGCAACAAACAUUCGAGACAGAUGAUUGUUUAGAAACAGAAUUCGGCUUAUGAGCUGCUC